Long non-coding RNA from Meriones unguiculatus (Mongolian gerbil), 4727 nucleotides. RefSeq lists it as uncharacterized. NCBI's taxonomy places the organism in Eukaryota, Metazoa, Chordata, Mammalia, Rodentia, Muridae. The transcript has 4 exons. The record is from RefSeq and is a predicted model, not a curated record.
GACUGUCAUACAUGUAACUGACUACGUGGAGAAUUUUAUUUUGAGGCAAGUGUGGACAACUGCCACAGGAACUGUGCUCUCAUCACCCUGCUGUUUCCAGAAAGCGGGGAAUGUCCGUGAGCACGCUCCGGCAGCCUGUUUGCUCCUGCGCAGCAGCUGCCAAGAAAACCCACACCUUCUGCCACGACUGUCUGCCACAGAGGAGGAGGCAAGGGGCAGUGUGUCGUAACUGUUCUGUGAAGCGGUUCUUUCAUGUUUGCGUUUUCUGUAGUUCUCUUUGGGUGUCUUCCACUGAAUGCUGAGUCAGCCCGUCUCCACUCCUAAAGGCCUCCGCCAGAGAAGUCACCCUCAUCGGUGCCCAGGGCCCCUGGGAAGCCCAGGGUGGUUCCGGACCAAUGGUGCAUGUCACGGGAGAGAUACAUGUUCCUUUGCUUAUAUAAAUCUUUACUGUUGAUGUCAUGAAGAGGAGGACUCUUGAGGUUACUUCAUUCAUUUGUUCCUGUCGUUUGUUUCUGAGACAAUGCCUCAGGGAGCCCAGACUAGUUUCAGACUUGCUACAGAGCCUAGGCUAGCCUUCAACAGCUGAUCUUGUUUCUGCCCCCUAAGAACGGGAUCAAAGUGUGUGUCCUAUGCCCUGCACAACUGCUUAAUUCUGAAAUCAUUUUCACCUCUGGUUACUUGUUUCUCCCAAAUAAUGUUUUUACUUACAGACACUUGCUUCAUUGAAUCAGAUAGUUUUGUCAACAAAAUGAGUAAGAGCUAAAGUUUUGCCUCUUUCUGGGGCAAGCUUUUGGGCUCUCAGCCACCUCCAGCUUGGAGUUGCAUUCUCUAUACUGCGGCGCUGCCCAAAUUUAUUUCUAAUCACACUGAAGAUUCCUAGAAGAGAGCGACCACAUUAUAGUUCUGGGAGUGUGGCCAAGAUUAACAAUAUUUGCUGAAUGGAAUUUAAAUCAUGGUCAGCCCUGCUAGUCCCUAAAUGGGAAGCAUUAGCACUAAUGGGGAAGCUUGAAACCGGAGUAAGAAAGACCGGGGUAAAAGAGCAGGUUCUACCUCUGAUCUUGGGUCAGGUCACCAACUAAGCCCUGGAGUAGCUCUCGUUAGAAAAUGGGGGGUUUCAAUAACCGAGCCCGAGGGUCCUUGUAGCAAGCAGUUCAGUGAGCACAGCACAGAGCGCAAACGACCGUGCGUGCUUGCUACGGCCACACUCCCGUGGUCUCUCCAGAGGUCCUUCUCCUGGGGAAUGUGACGCCACCUUUCACUGCUACACACAGACGGGUCAGAGUGCCACAGCAAACUACCCGGGGAGCACCCAUCACAGAGGCCUGCGUUUGCUCGAAGUGGCUGAUGGAGCAGCGUGGUUAUGCUGUCUGUGUAACGUUUCCCUUUCCCUCUCUCGGCGCACUCUUACUUCAUUUGUGCCAGUGUUAGCUGGUGAGAGACGUUCAGAUGUUAUUUUGAGUAAACGAAAUCCUCAGAACUGGGAGUGUGAAAUGCUAUCAGUAUGGAUCAGAAGGAUGGCGGUGACCCCCAGUUCGGAGGAUAUGAUGGCAUUCAGGAAUUCAAUUACAUGAUCCCUCAGGCUAGUAAUGCGCAAAAUGGAAACAGACCCCUACCAUUUAUGCUCCAGAUACUAAGAGGUUAUCAUGAUAAUUACGAGCAUUGUUUCAGCACACAGAGUUUUCAAAUGUGCAUUUUUUGGUGUGUGUGUGUGUGUGUGUGUGUGCAUGCUAUGUUUGCGUGUGGGCAUAUAUUUGCACGCAUGGGGACCAGAGGUUGGUACAAAAUCUCUUCAGUAGCUCUCUACCUGAGCCGGAGCUUGCAAUUUCACUUAGACUGCCUAGCCAGCGAGCCCUCUGGGAUCUGCCCAUCUCUGGGGAAUACUGGGGUUACAGACAUGUGGGUCUAGUUUUGUAGGUGGGUUGUGAACACUUGGAACUCAUGUCCUCAUGUCCAAGCAGUAAUCUCUUUACCCACUGAACCAUCUCUUCAGCCCCACAGGUUUUUAGAAGCAAAUUCUAACCUAUGCAUUUCAUCCCUGAGGCCGAGUUUGGAAUACGAAAGAAAAGGUGCAGUGAUGCAGUCCUAGAAAUUCAGCAUUUGGAUGGCAGAGAUAGGGAGGUGGCCAGUUUGAGGCCAGCCUGGGUUACACAGCAACAAAAGGAGGAAGAGAAGGAGCCAGAGGAAGAGGAAGAGGAGGAGAAGGAGAAGGAAAAGAAACCAACCCUGACACUGUUGCUCACCCUCAGUCACCAUCACAGGUUCAGGUACAGCCAACCCAAGUCUGCAGGGAUUUUAACGGGCUGGAUCCAGUGCCACUCAAACCUCGAACGGGGUGAGCGAUCGCUCUUACCCAGCGAAGGCUCCAUGCCGCAGGUCCGAGCUAGGCACAGGACCAGAAAAGCCAAACCCUCAGAGACGGAGCCACUUCCUCCUGCUGAACAGCACCCGAGGCGGAGUCUGAGUCUUCCCUGGAAAUGCAUCUCCACCAGGGAGAGUCCUGGGACAGAGUGCUUGACCUUAGCAGACACUGGACAAUGGCCACAGAGCAGCAGGGGCCUGCCGACACCGGGAAAGACUGCUGGAGUUGGGUGGCCAAGCCGCACGUUUCCUGCGGGUCAACACUUGGGUAAAACCCCUGCUGUAGCAGUCAAAUGGAGGCUGGGGAUACAGGGGGCAUUAGGGGAGUUGGAUAACCGCGACGACCAGAUGGGAGGAAGGAGAGGGCGCUAAGCCAGUUCUGGCAGGCGAGCUGGCUGUCCCUCUCCCUGGGGAAGGUUCGCAAGGCCCUGCUGCCCUUCGCGUAUUCUUAUUUCUAAUGCAGCGGAUUAUAACAGGCUUCAUGGAGAGUAAAAAAACAAAACAAAACAAAACAAAAAACGUUUCCAAACAGCCUCCACUUGUUCCAGAAAGGGGCCCACAUCACAGACCACGAGCUUUAUAAAAUAACCAAGAAAAUCAGCAGUUUAAUGUCUUUGCAGCUGAGAGAGUAGUUACGAGAACGAAGAGAGAACAGACUGCAGAACGGCUAUAGCAGAGCCCACCAGGGUCCAAGACCACCACACCUGCACGAGCCACAGCAGCCAGGGCCAACUGCCAACAGACCGUCAAGCGCAACAGCGAGGAACAAACCAGAGACAAGCAGCGCCACUCAAAGCGUGACCGCUCCCGAACUGGAGAGAGCAUCAGAUCAAGCAGGAGGCAGACAUGCCCGGCAAGCCUGGGAGGGAUUUGCGAGACGAGACAGCACGGAUGAAGGCGGUCUGGAAACCAAGAAGCUUUUACUGUUUGCCUGCUGGCCCCUGCUUUCAACGGCAAAGUCCACCCCACCGCUGCCAUCGCUGCUGCUGGAUUCCUUUGCUAAUGCCAAAACCCAGCUCCUUCAGGCUUCCAGCAUGGACUGAAGACCAGUGGAACACGGAAUCCCCUGAUCAGGACCAGGCUGGGGCUGUCGGGACACCCAGCCUCACACACUGCACAGCUGCCAGGUUCGCAGCCUCCCCAGUGUGAUGACAGCUUACGACAGAUAAACCAGAGCGAGAAGAACCCAAGACUGCAUCUCAACCACUGCCUCCAUCCAGGAGCGGCGUCUGAGGCCAGGAAGGCGCUCCAUGAUCACACCCAUCUCAGCACACUAGAUUCAAAAAACCAAGUCACGUGUCGCAGCCACUUCCUACUAUCCACUGGAGUCAUGAUCAAACGGUCAAAAAUACCAGUAGAAAAUACCACACGGACAAGACCAGAGGAACACCCAUCUGUCCUAUUUUAGCGCCUGAGACGGCUCCGGCCAUCUGUCUUGGUACUCCUUCCAAGUUGGAGGAAGAAACUUCUCUGUUCUGUUCAACUCAAACUCUUCAAGCGGAGCCUCAAGACCAUUUUCAACACAUUCCAUUUCCAAACAGUUUGGAGUACAGCUAUUAAUCAUCUGGGUGAUGGGACAGUAUCAAGGCACAGGGUUUCGGGGAACAGUGAGUGAUGGAGUUAUAAAAGAGAGAGCAUCUGGAGGCCUUCAGGUGUGGCUGGGUCCAGGACUCUGCCGUUCGUCAGGCCCCUCCGCUUUCGGACAAGCUUUUUGACACGUAAAGGAACAGCAGACUGACGCCAUCACCAUCUAGAACUGAUCCCUCUACCACGGUGACCGUGACGGAGGAGAACACUACCGUCACAGAAUUUUCCUUCCAGUGGAGAGGAGAUGCUACGGUUUGAUUAUGAUUUGAGUGUUUGUCCCCCCACUCCUACCCCAAAUUCACGCCAUAGGAGCCUAACCCUGUGUGGCUGUGUUAGGGCGGUGGGGCCUGACGUCAGGUAAUUAAUUCAUGGAGGCUCACACUUACAAGGGACUAAGGCAGGGCUCGAGGGACUGCAGGUGCUAGAGCUGUUAUAAAAAACAAACCUGGCUCCUGGACCUGUCCGGUACGCUGUGGGAUCACUUCCUCUGUCACCCUGCCACGACUCCAUCUACCGUGCUGUGAAGAGCAUGGGGGCCUUCUCUAGAGGCUCAACUGAGGGAGUGGCGUGACCCUGGAUAUCUAGCCUCUGUGACUGUCAGCGCAAUUACAUUUCUUUGGGGGAAAAAAAAGCACCCUCUGGGGGCAUUUUGUUAUAGAACUAAUGUAGGGAUGUUAGAAGAUGAAGGUUUAAAAAUGCCUGAAAUUAAAAAAAAAAAGUAUUAUCUUCCACAAAAUAAGGCUAUGUACAUUUUUGCCAUUAUUAAAGGCAGCUUUCUCAUC